CCAUUCACUACACACCUGUCCAUUAUUGCAUCAUUACUUGAUCUGUUUGAAAGGUUUUGGCAAGGAUUCUCUCAGACCAAGAGCAAUGCAUUGUUCUGAAUGGUGAGCACGCUGAGAACUCCAUUUGUACCCUAGAAUGCGCACAGAAAGUAUGCUGGGUAACAAAGAAGAAACGAACUGUGCCUUCAGUGCAUUCUCCAGACUUAUCUUCCCAUAGAAAUAAACUUCAAGAUUACUGCCACAUCCAAAUCUAUUAUGCAUAUCCAAGAAACCAACAAAUACAGAAGACUACUGGAUGGUUAUAGUUAUCCACAGACACUGCUGGCACCGGGGGCAGCCCCACGGCAGUCCCAGCAACAGAGGCCCGAAACUUGAAGAGGGUGUCGAGGCCACACCUGCUGCUCCAGUCAUUGCUGUGUGGGCACAAAGAACCGUCAAAUGUUUGGGAAUUAAUCCUUUUGCCUGUGCUGGCUCUGGCACUCUGGUAUUUGCAAAUAAAUAUUAACAAGUUAUUUGGGGUACUAGGAUGAGCGCUUUCACUUUCCUAUCCACUUCUCUGUGUUCACA
This 567-nucleotide long non-coding RNA is filed under the name Anser brachyrhynchus (Pink-footed goose). RNAcentral describes it as "lncRNA (ENSABRG00000002382.1)". The record is from RNAcentral. Lineage: Eukaryota; Metazoa; Chordata; Aves; Anseriformes; Anatidae.